GACGAACGCUGGCGGCGUGCUUAACACAUGCAAGUCGAACGGAAAGGCCCUGCUUUUGUGGGGUGCUCGAGUGGCGAACGGGUGAGUAACACGUGAGUAACCUGCCCUUGACUUUGGGAUAACUUCAGGAAACUGGGGCUAAUACCGGAUAGGAGCUCCUGCUGCAUGGUGGGGGUUGGAAAGUUUCGGCGGUUGGGGAUGGACUCGCGGCUUAUCCGCUUGUUGGUGGGGUAGUGGCUUACCAAGGCUUUGACGGGUAGCCGGCCUGAGAGGGUGACCGGCCACAGUGGGACUGAGAUACGGCGCAGACUCCUACGGGAGGCAGCAGUGGGGAAUAUUGCACAAUGGGCGGAAGCCUGAUGCAGCAACGCCGCGUGCGGGAUGGCGGCCUUCGGGUUGUAAACCGCUUUCGCCUGUGACGAAGCGUGAGUGACGGUAAUGGGUAAAGAAGCACCGGCUAACUACGUG
Molecule: ribosomal RNA, 468 nt
Filed under: uncultured bacterium
Lineage: Bacteria
Description: partial 16S ribosomal RNA
Rfam family: Bacterial small subunit ribosomal RNA
Source: RNAcentral